GUUUUUAUAGUUUAAGUAUAACACUAGUUCUUCAAACUAACGGUUCAGGUUAAACCCCUGGUAAAAACU
Molecule: transfer RNA, 69 nt
Filed under: Pristimantis fenestratus (Rio Mamore robber frog)
Lineage: Eukaryota; Metazoa; Chordata; Amphibia; Anura; Strabomantidae
Description: tRNA-Glu
Rfam family: tRNA
About the family: Transfer RNA (tRNA) molecules are approximately 80 nucleotides in length. Their secondary structure includes four short double-helical elements and three loops (D, anti-codon, and T loops).
Source: RNAcentral